Molecule: long non-coding RNA, 399 nt
Filed under: Helianthus annuus (common sunflower)
Lineage: Eukaryota; Viridiplantae; Streptophyta; Magnoliopsida; Asterales; Asteraceae
Description: hypothetical non coding rna
Source: RNAcentral
GAUAAGGCAAGGUGACAAAUACACUUAUUGGAAUACUCAAGGUUAUGAAUGUCGGACUUUCGAAGUGUUGAUAUAAUAAUGAAACGGUUGAAUGUUGAAAGGAUAAUCGGAUUGAAGUAACUUAUGCGGUAAUUCCUCAAUUUUGGCGACUUGGAGAAUCGGAGCGAGCGCGUGUUCGUGUUAUGCGAUACCAAACGCUUCCGCUAGCUUGUUCAAAUGUUUUUGAUCCAAAAUUUGUUGUAUUGGUAUUUAGUAGUAUCUUGUUGAACGAAUUGUAGAAUUGUAUCUAGUUUGUUUAUGUUUUAAACAGGGGUAUGCUCGUUUUAUGGACGGGUCAUGCCCGAUUUUUUUGUUAAAUUAUAGUUUGAUAAUAUCACAUUUAGGAAGGUGAAAUUUUGG